RNAcentral lists this ribosomal RNA (250 nucleotides) under uncultured bacterium. RNAcentral's name for it is "partial 16S ribosomal RNA". It matches the Rfam family "Bacterial small subunit ribosomal RNA", at positions 524 to 773 of the family's 1533-position model. The record is from RNAcentral.
GACGAAGGGGGCUAGCGUUGUUCGGAAUUACUGGGCGUAAAGCGCGUGUAGGCGGCCGUUCAAGUCGGGUGUGAAAGCCUUGAGCUCAACUCAAGAAUUGCACUCGAUACUGGAUGGCUCGAGAACCGGAGAGGAUAGUGGAAUUCCCAGUGUAGUGGUGAAAUACGUAGAGAUUGGGAAGAACACCAGUGGCGAAGGCGGCUAUCUGGACGGUUUCUGACGCUGAGACGCGAAAGCGUGGGGAGCAAAC